UAGGGAAUCUCCACAAUGGACGAAAGUCUGAUGGAGCAACGCCGCGUGAGUGAAGAAGGGUUUCGGCUCGUAAAACUCUGUUGUUAAAGAAGAACAUAUCUGAGAGUAACUGUUCAGGUAUUGACGGUAUUUAACCAGAAAGCCACGGCUAACUACGUGCCAG
RNAcentral lists this ribosomal RNA (163 nucleotides) under uncultured bacterium. Its description in RNAcentral is "partial 16S ribosomal RNA". It matches the Rfam family "Bacterial small subunit ribosomal RNA", at positions 355 to 511 of the family's 1533-position model. The record is from RNAcentral.